AACGAACGCUGGCGGCGUGCUUAAUACAUGCAAGUCGAACGUGAAGCCCGGGCAACUGGGUGGAAAGUGGCGAACGGGUGAGUAACACGUAAAUAAUCUACCUCUAAGUUUGGGAUAACCUUGCCAACGCGGGGCUAAUACCGGAUGUGGUCAUGAAAACGCAUGUUUUUAUGAUUAAAGAUGUAAAUCGCUUAGAGAUGAGUUUGCGGCCCAUUAUGCUUGUUGGUGAGGUAACGGCUCACCAAGGCUGCGAUGGGUAGCCGGCCUGAGAGGGUGAACGGCCACAUUGGGACUGAGAUACGGCCCAGACACCUACGGGUGGCUG
Molecule: ribosomal RNA, 325 nt
Filed under: uncultured Fibrobacterota bacterium
Lineage: Bacteria; Pseudomonadati; Fibrobacterota
Description: bacterial SSU rRNA
Rfam family: Bacterial small subunit ribosomal RNA
Source: RNAcentral